RNAcentral lists this ribosomal RNA (938 nucleotides) under bacterium IARFR1475. RNAcentral describes it as "bacterial SSU rRNA". It matches the Rfam family "Bacterial small subunit ribosomal RNA", at positions 60 to 989 of the family's 1533-position model. The record is from RNAcentral.
AGUCGAGGGGCAGCAUUUCAGUUUGCUUGCAAACUGGAGAUGGCGACCGGCGCACGGGUGAGUAACACGUAUCCAACCUGCCGAUAACUCGGGGAUAGCCUUUCGAAAGAAAGAUUAAUACCCGAUGGUAUAAUGAAACCGCAUGGUCUUGUUAUUAAAGAAUUUCGGUUAUCGAUGGGGAUGCGUUCCAUUAGGCAGUUGGUGAGGUAACGGCUCACCAAACCUUCGAUGGAUAGGGGUUCUGAGAGGAAGGUCCCCCACAUUGGAACUGAGACACGGUCCAAACUCCUACGGGAGGCAGCAGUGAGGAAUAUUGGUCAAUGGGCGCAGGCCUGAACCAGCCAAGUAGCGUGAAGGAUGACUGCCCUAUGGGUUGUAAACUUCUUUUAUAUGGGAAUAAAGUUUUCCACGUGUGGAAUUUUGUAUGUACCAUAUGAAUAAGGAUCGGCUAACUCCGUGCCAGCAGCCGCGGUAAUACGGAGGAUCCGAGCGUUAUCCGGAUUUAUUGGGUUUAAAGGGAGCGUAGGUGGACAGUUAAGUCAGUUGUGAAAGUUUGCGGCUCAACCGUAAAAUUGCAGUUGAUACUGGCUGUCUUGAGUACAGUAGAGGUGGGCGGAAUUCGUGGUGUAGCGGUGAAAUGCUUAGAUAUCACGAAGAACUCCGAUUGCGAAGGCAGCUCACUGGACUGCAACUGACACUGAUGCUCGAAAGUGUGGGUAUCAAACAGGAUUAGAUACCCUGGUAGUCCACACAGUAAACGAUGAAUACUCGCUGUUUGCGAUAUACAGUAAGCGGCCAAGCGAAAGCAUUAAGUAUUCCACCUGGGGAGUACGCCGGCAACGGUGAAACUCAAAGGAAUUGACGGGGGCCCGCACAAGCGGAGGAACAUGUGGUUUAAUUCGAUGAUACGCGAGGAACCUUACCCGGGCUUAAAUUGC